Molecule: ribosomal RNA, 382 nt
Filed under: uncultured eukaryote
Lineage: Eukaryota
Description: partial 18S ribosomal RNA
Rfam family: Eukaryotic small subunit ribosomal RNA
Source: RNAcentral
UGUAAGCGUAUACCAAAGUUGUUGCAGUUAAAACGCUCGUAGUCGGACUUUGGCAGUUCCGGAUGUGUGCACGUCGUGUGCGCACUUCGCGGGGAUUGCUUUUGUGGUCUUGUGUAGGAUGAGGCACUUUUAUUAGUGAACGUCCUCACGCAACCACUUUUUACUGUGAGAAAAUCAGAGUGCUCAAAGCAGGCAUUUGCCGUGAAUGUAUUAGCAUGGAAUAAUAGAAUAGGACUUGGUUCUAUUUUGUUGGUUUGUUGGGACUGAGUAAUGAUUAAGAGGGACAGUUGGGGGCAUUUGUAUUUCGGUGCUAGAGGUGAAAUUCUUAGAUUACCGAAAGACAAACUGCUGCGAAAGCGUCUGCCAAGGAUGUUUUCAUUGA